GAGGAAAGUCCGGGCUCUAUUUAUAAAAAUAUAGCUGUAUAAAAUACAGUGUAGGUAACUACAAGGAUAGUGCCACAGAAAUAUACCGCCUUUUUUUAUAGGUAAGGGUGCAACGGUUCGGUAAGAGCGUACCAGAAAUACUAUUAAAAUAUUUGCUUGGUAAACCCCGUAUUAGAGCAAAGCUAUUAGUAUACUUAGUCAAGUAUUUUUUAUAAGUUUUACUUGUUAUAUUCUAAUCACAUGUACUGCAUAAAGUAUGUAUUUACUUCAGAUUAAUAAUUACCCUUUUCAUGAUGAAAUUAUCAAUUUUUUCUGAAAAGAACUAAACCCGGCUUAU
This 337-nucleotide RNase P RNA is filed under the name Pleurostichidium falkenbergii. Its description in RNAcentral is "ribonuclease P RNA". The stretch from base 2 to 177 matches the Rfam family "Bacterial RNase P class A", at positions 44 to 222 of the family's 367-position model. From Rfam's summary of the family: Ribonuclease P (RNase P) is a ubiquitous endoribonuclease, found in archaea, bacteria and eukarya as well as chloroplasts and mitochondria. Lineage: Eukaryota; Rhodophyta; Florideophyceae; Ceramiales; Rhodomelaceae. The record is from RNAcentral.